RNAcentral lists this ribosomal RNA (488 nucleotides) under uncultured bacterium. Its description in RNAcentral is "partial 16S ribosomal RNA". It matches the Rfam family "Bacterial small subunit ribosomal RNA", at positions 28 to 507 of the family's 1533-position model. The record is from RNAcentral.
GACGAACGCUGGCGGCGUGCUUAACACAUGCAAGUCGAACGGAAAGGCCCUGCUCUUGUGGGGUGCUCGAGUGGCGAACGGGUGAGUAACACGUGAGUAACCUGCCCUUGUCUUUGGGAUAACUUCAGGAAACUGGGGCUAAUACCGGAUAGGAGCUCCUGCUGCAUGGUGGGGGUUGGAAAGUUUCGGCGGUUGUGGAUGUACUCGGGGCUUAGGAGCUAGUUGGUGUGGUAGUGGCUUACCAAGGCUUUGACGGGUACCCGACGUGAGAGGGUGACCGGCGACACGAGAGGGGAGCCGGCCACCAUAGGACUGAGAUACGCCCCAGAAGCCUACGGGAGGCAGCAGUCGGGAGUCUUGCAGAGUGAGGGGGAGCCUGUUACAACAGCGCCGCGUGCGGGAUGCCGGCUUUCGGGUUGUAAACCGCUUUCGACUGAAACAAAGAGUGAGUGACGGUAAUGGGUAAAGAAGCCCCGGCUAACUACGUG